CGCGCGCGCAGAGCCGGGGGAGGGAGGCCUAGGCUGUCGGGGACCGUCGGGAGUGUGGGCGGCCCGCGAGGUCGGUCCCCUGUCACUCGCGCGGAGGCCUGGUCGGUAGGAGCGGACUCCCGGGAGGCCACGCGGUCUGGCCAGCCACCCGGGCCGCGAGAGUCACCAGGCCCCUCCUUUCCGCCCUCGGCCGGAACGGAGUGUGCGGGUUCGCGGCGCGGCCGGAGAGUGAGCUAAGCGGCGGCCGCCGAGGCGCCUGGGGAGUUCAGACUGGAAAGCAAGAAGUCUUAGGACUAGAGGGAGGAGACCCUGGCCGCACUGGCCUUUCCGUUGCACAAGGUUUUAAUUUGUUCUGUUCAACUGUUCAGCGAUCUUGAGUAAAAAAGAUUAUCUGGCCUGCUCCAUGAUUUUGGCUUGAUGUGAAAAGAUUAAGUUAUUCCUCAAAGUGGAGGAUUUACGUGAGUGCUGGGAUUACAGGCACGAGCCAGACAUGGUGGAGGCUGAAGUGGGAGGAUCGCCAUGGGCCUGCAACCAGCCUAGACAGUGAGUGACAAGACAACUUGGGCUACAGGAAAUUAUGAGCCGAGGAUCUCAAGUUCACAUGUUUUGGGGAGCUCCAGUUGCUCCACUGAAAAUGACGAUAUCACAGGGAACAGCUUCCUUAAUGUCCACUGCCAACGCCUGGGAACAAAUCCACCUUUUGUACAAACAACAUUCUUUAUAUCUGAAGGCUGAAAACCAGGAGCUUAAAAAUCUGAAAGACUACCAAAUCCCAGAAACUGCUGGCCCUCCAGAUGUUCUUAGUGGUCACCUUUCAACAACUUAUGUGACUAGGUCUGCGCAGGUGGAAAAUGGUUUCAUCUAUUCUGCUUCUGAAACACAGAGUAUAAAGUCCCAGAAGAUUAAUCCCGCAGGCCAGAAUGAUAUGACUAAUGUGCAAAUAUGUGAAUUUAAGGACAGAGUUCAGCAUUUACCUGAAGAAGAAAAAUAUCAGAGGUUUCAGUGUGAAAAUAUGAAACUUAGAGAUGAUCAGUCUAAAAACCAGUCAAAUCCCUGUGUUCAGAACUUUCAAGCAGAUCUGCUUCCGUUAGAUCAUAAAUGUACAGCUGAAUUGGAUUUGGACUGUUGUACUGAACAGAUUACUAUAGGGCCAGAGGCUGUGAGAACAAAGCCUGAGCCAGAGUCUGAGGGAGCGGUCGGGAAGGCCUCAGACCAGAAAGUGUCUACUGACACUGAGUUUCUCAGUAUAAUGACCUCCAGCCAGUGUGCUUUUCUAGCUCAAGGGAACAAUAAAGGGCAAGACUGUACAAAUAAAGGGACUAUAAACAUGGGGAUGGAACCCACAGGAAGUCCAGAAGGAAGACUAGCUGAAGAUAAUCUUGCUAAACCCAUGGACAAUUCUGAAAGCGAAUCUGAGAGUGAGCAGAGCCAGGCGUAUUCCCUGGAACUUUUUAGUCCUGAAUCAGAAAGCAGUCACGUUAACAGAAACCCUGGAAAAAGUCUUGAAAAUAAUAUAAGUUCACAAGAUCUUUUCAGUAGUGAAGAAAACCCGCCAUCAAAUGAGGUAUGCAUUGAGUUGUGUGGCUCAGGAAUCCUGUGUUCCCAACUAAGUACCUUCCACCAAAGUGCUGCUAAAAGAAGCCGGUCCUCUAAAGAUUUCCAUCAUUCUAAAGCUCUUUCGGAAGUCCAUCAAGUAUCCAAGAAGCCAAGGAUGGACUCUACUACAAGAGAGUCAGCGAAAACAGUGCCCCAGAGGAUCAUGUCCGAAUUUAAGGCCAUUAAAAAAAUAUCAUUAAUAAAAAACUGUGACUCUAAAAGUCGGAAGUAUAACUGCUUAGUCAUGGUGCUAACCCCGUGUCAUGUGAAGGAAAUAAACGUAAAAUCUGGACCAAAUUCUGGUUCUAAAGUGCCCUUAGCAACAGUUGUAGUAAUUGAUCAAUCAGAAGUGAGGAAGAGAGUUGUUCUGUGGAGGACUGCAGCAUUUUGGGCACUUACAGUGUUUCUUGGGGAUAUAAUUUUACUUACAGAUGUUACUGUUUAUGAGGACCAAUGGGUUGGUGAGACAGUACUCCAAUCAACAUUUACCAGUCAGUUAUUAAAUCUUGGAAGUUAUUCACAUGUCCAGCCUGAAGAAUAUUCCAAUGUAGUUGCCAGUGUUAUACUUCAGGACUUACUGGGAUAUGUGUCUUCAAAACAUUCCUAUCUCAAAGAUCUGCCUCAGAGGCAGCAUCAGAAAAUGAACACUGUAGAGUUUGUGGAAUUGGAGCAGCUGCAGCCUGAUACAUUAGUCCAUGCCAUACUCAGAGUAGUGGAUGUCACUGUAUUGACAGAGGCAGUGUAUAGUUAUAGAGGACAGAAGCAAAGGAAAGUUCUGUUAACUGUGGAACAGGCUCAAGGUCAACAUUAUGUGCUUGUAUUGUGGGGUCCAGGAGCAGCCUGGUAUACUCAGCUUCAAAGGAAAAAAGAUCGUAUUUGGGAAUUUAAGUACCUUUUUGUUCAACGCAAUUGCAUACUAGAAAACUUAGAGUUGCAUACAACACUGUGGUCAUCCUGUGAAUGCCUGUUUGAGGACGAUACAAGAGCAAUUUCAUUUAGAGCAAAAUUUCAAAAAACUAUACCCUCCUUUGUCAAGACAUCAGACUUAGCAACUCACCUAAAGGAUAAGUAUUCAGGAGUGGUUCUGAUUAAAGCCAAGGUUUCAGAGCUGGUGUUUACUGUCCCAGCAGCUCAGAAGAUAGCUCUAAAUGCUCACAGUUCUCUGAAGGGUAUCUUCUCUUCUCUUCCCAACAUUACAUAUGCUGGCUGUGCACAGUGUGGCUCAGAACUGGAAACAGAUGAGAACAGGGUCUACAGACAAUGUCUGAGCUGCUUGCCAUUUGCUGGGAAGAAAACAUUCUAUAGGCCAGCUUUAAUGACCAUAGUUGAUGGAAAACAUAGUACUUGUGUCCAUGUAGGGUCAAGGAUGAUGGAACGCAUUCUUCUCAACAUCUCUCCAGAUUGCCUCAACAGAGCGAUAGUACCUUCCUCAGAAGUCACCUACAGCAUGGUCGCAGCAGACUUACUCCACUCCUUGUUGGCCGUCAGUGCAGAACCUUGUGUGUUGAAGAUCCAGAGCGUUUUCGAGUUGGAUGAAAACAGCUACCCAUUGCAACAGGAUUUCUCCCUACUGGAUUUCUGUCCUGAUUCAUGGACGAUGUGGAGCCCGGGACUUUCUCUGAGGUCAGAGGAGGACACAGGCAGCAUUCCAAGGAAGGAGUGAUGAAAUAAUCUGUCUUUUGAAGAUUUAUAUAUUUUUUAUGUUUGUGAGUUUUGCCUGUGUCUGUCUGUGUACCAUGUCUGGUGCCCACAGAGGCCAGGAGAGGGGACUAGAUCCCCUGGGACUAGAGUAAUAUAUGGGUGUGAGCUGCCAAAUGGAUUCUGAGAAAGUGCUCUUAACUGCUGAGCCACCCAACCCUAUGAUCUGUGCUUUGAAAUAAAUGAAAUGACAGGGCUUUUGCCUGGAGUUUUUAAAAUAAAUAUUUUAUUACCAUAAUAUAUUUGUACUAAAUUUAUAAGUUAAUUUUAAAAAGAAUUCCGUGAAGCUUUUAUUAUUUGCUUUUUUGUUGGUAUUCUUUUUAUUCUGGAGAAAUGAUGUAGCAAUAAAGGCAUAUGUCACAGUUCCUGAGGGUUACAGGUGCCUCAUCUGUCUCCUAACGUAGACCCUGAUGCAUCAAGGCACUCAACACUGAAGAGCCACAUGUAAGAUGCUUCUUCAGAAGUUACUUUUCUGUUAUAAACUCUACAUGCUUUUUCUUAUUUCUGUCUUAAUAAGUGCCAGUGUGAAUUAAUUUCUCCAUGUUAACUGUAUGUGCUAGCUAGGGACACAGGACUGUUGGUGUAGUGGCAAGCGAAUUAGCUGCUUCUCUUGUUGCUGAGACGACACCCCUGCAAAGUAACCGAAGGAAGGAAGGAAGGUUGACAGGUGAAGGGCAGUCCUCAUUCUGAAGAGGGACAAGUGUCCAUGACCCCCAGGUCCAUCUUUGGGGUCCUGACAUGUCUCAGUAUUCUGAUAGCCGAAGGGAGGGCACAAAUAUUCCCAGAGUAUUGUGGCUCCUGAUCAACUGGAUUAGUAUUGUAAAAAUGGCUGUAUUCCUGAAAGCAGGCUACAUACUCAGUGCAAUCCUUAACAAAAGUCCAGUGAGUUUCUUCACAGAAAUAGAAAAAAAAUCCUAAAAUUCACGUGGAAGAACAAAAGUACCUUAGACCAGUGUUUCUCAAUCCAUAGGUCAUGACUUGAUAUUCUUUCAUAUCAAAUAUUUACAUUGCAAUUUAUAACAGUAGCAAAAUUACAGUUAUGAAGUAGCAAUGAAGUGAUUCUGUGGUUGGGGGUCACUACAACAUGAGGAGCUGUAUAAAAGGGUCACAGCAUUAGGAAGGUUGAGAACCACUGCCCUAGACAGUCAAAGCCAACUGAAAAGCAAGAGCAGUGUUAGAAGAAGCACAGUAUCUAAUUGUAGUGGGUAGCCAUUCCAGCUUUGAUCUGGAAGUUCCAACCCCCAUUGAGGCUUCGGUAACUGUCACGCCUACAAGGUGGGGCCAAGAGAGGACCCUGAAGACCCGAGAUCAGGAUGUGCCGGCUCUCUUGGUUCCUGGACCCUGGAUGCUGGAGGUAGACCAAGCAGAGUUCUCCAGAGAACACUGCCGAACUGCGCCACACCUUUCCCAGACCCUGUUACCUAUCCCUUCACUUAGCUACGGUGACAAAAACAGAUGGUCUCAGAACAGACACGUAGACCAAUGGAGUAAACUAGAGGAUGCGGAAACAAGCCCAUACAGUUACAGCCACGUGAUUGACAUACACUGGAGUGUGCAUGGCAUGCUCUUCAACAAAUGGUACUGGGAAAAACCAGAUAACCACAUGAGAAUGAAGCUACUUCUGUCUCUUAUCCUGUACAGAAAGUGAUUCAAAAUGGAUCAGCACCUUUAAGAUCUGACAGAACUGCAACCGGAAAACACAGGGAGAAUCCUUCCAACAUCCAGGCUGGUGUGGACACACGGAAAGGACACACGGAAAGGACUCCAGCAGCUCAGGAAGUAAGGCCAAGAACUGGCAAAUGGGACGGCAGAGAGUUUUAAAACUUCUACAAAGCAAAGCGAAUCACAGAGUAAAGAGACGGCCUACAGGACAGGAAAUUGUCAGCUGUGUUUUUGACGUGGGAUUAGUAUCUAGAAUGAAGAACAACAGAACCAAUAAAUGACAAAUGAAUCAAAUAGUUCCCAAAGAGGUUUGUAAGUCUGUGAAGAAAACAUUCAAUGUCUGUAGCCCUCAGGGAUAGGCAAACAAAAACUGUAGUCAGAUUCCAUCUAUCCCAACCAAAGGGGCGAUCAGCAAGGAGACAGACAGCAAAUGUUGGUGAAUGUGGAGAAAGAGGAAUCCUUACACUCCAGCUCAUGGCUCCAGUAAAGAAACAGCAUCAUGCCGUUCACAGAAGGUCUGUCUGACACGUAAGAAGAGUCAUGUUCAAAGCGCGAUGUGAAGGAAGGCAAACAGAAACAGCAUACAUCUUCUCAUUCCUUAGAUAAUAUAUAAUAUGCUGUACAUUGUACAUUACAUAUAUUUAUAUGAUGUGUCUAUAUAUUAUAUAGUAUAUAUUAUAUAGUGCAUGUGACCAUGUAUAAGUGCUGUAUAAACCAAGAAGGAAGAGUCAGUGCUUGCAAAGGGCCACCCUGGAAGGUUGGCUUCUGUGUCCUGCCGGCUCUAAAUCCAUCCCUCAGUACUUGCUCUGAGCUAACAGUCAGCCUAGUGGCAGUCACUAAACAGUAGAGGGCGCUGGAGACGCACCGCGGAAGGCUGCGCUGCAGUCCAGGGUGAGCUGGAAGCCACAACAGAGUGCCCAGUUCUCUGGCCCCACUAGUGAGGGCUCAGCCAGGCUGUCACUCACGUGACUACCCUCUUCUGUCCCGCCCUCUAAGUGCUCUAGGCGGGGUCCCCUGGUGGACCUCCUUUGCUCACUCACUCCUGCCUGGAAGUUUGUCAGUCAGCAAACUAACUCAAGCCCAAACCAAGAGAACGAAGGGGUUAUUGCCAGACUUCAUCCUUCAUCGUUAGCAGUGGACAGUUAAUGUACACAGAGACACGAGAAGAAGUGAGAAGUUUAAGGAGAAAGGCAGGAAGAAGGUUUUCCCUUCUGCAGACCCUGACUGCAAAGUGCCGCAGGCUGCUGGGUGUCUUUUUCUGAGCUCUCUGGUGAAAUGGAAUGCUGGUAGCAUUUCAUACAUCUGGAAUUGAGUCCAGCUCUAGCGCUGCUUUCUAGCUGCAGGGCACUGAGAAACAGCACAUCCUCUGGACCCCACUUUCUCCUCUACUGAUGGAAGGGAGGUCCCUCCUGGGCGGGGCCUUAACCUGCUCAUGUACAAAACCUUACUCAGUUCCCAAGGGAUGGUUUCUUUCUUCCAUCCACAAUUGAAACACUGUUUCUCUUAAAGCAAACAAUGAUUCGGGCAAAUCAUUCCAUAGUAAGUAUUAGGGGAACAUAAUGGGCAAGUAUUACAGUCUGUUUUUAAAAUUGCAUGCUAAAUUCAAUUAAGAAAUUUGUCAAUUAUAUUGAAGGAGCUGGCCAUAUGCAAUCUAAUCAGUGAAUUAUUUCAUUAUAUUCUUCUUGUUAGUUAUUCAGACCUUCUUAGCAGAUAGCUAACUUCUCCCUGCUCCUUGGAUAAAAACCCAGAGCAAGUCCCAUGACUCCUUUUUCUUUAUCUCUUUUUCAGUAUUGUGACUUUUGCUCACCAUUAGUAGCAAGUAAAUAAAAUUCCUCCAGUAACUUCUAAUUCCACAGCCAGACUCUGUGUGAUACAGUCAUCCACAGUGUUUAGUGUGUACAGUCAUCCACAGUGUUCAGUGUGAACAGUCAUCCACAGUGUUUAGUGUCAUACAGUCAUCCACAGUGUUUAAUGUGAACAAUCAUCCACAGUGUUCAGUGUCAUACAGUCACAGUGUUUAGUGUGAACAGUCAUCCACAGUGUUUAGUGUGAACAGUCAUCCACAGUGUUUAGUGUGAACAAUCAUCCACAGUGUUCAGUGUCAUACAGUCACAGUGUUUAGUGUGAACAGUCAUCCACAGUGUUUAGUGUGAACAGUCAUCCACAGUGUUUAGUGUGAACAGUCAUCCACAGUGUUCAGUGUGAACAGUCAUCCACAGUGUUUAGUAUGAACAGUCAUCCACAGUGUUUAGUGUGAACAGUCAUCCACAGUGUUUAGUGUCAUACAGUCAUCCACAGUGUUUAGUGUGUACAGUCAUCCACAGUGUUUAGUGUGAACAGUCACCCACAGUGUUUAGUUGAACAGUCAUCUACAGUGUUUAGUGUCAUCCAAAGAUCCAACAUCCAGUUGUAGCUGACUUCUGCCUGUGUCCUGUUUCUCUGUUUUGUGUAUCUAUCCAUCCUUCCUUCCCCACCUUGCUCACAGGGAUGAUCAUCCAUCCUAGCAGAAACCUGCAUGGGGUAAGGAGGAAGACCACCGAAGGGGUAGGAAGCUAUAGGUCAACAGGAAACAGUGCUCAGCCGCAGUGCUGAGUACUCCCAAGACCCCUUUUUAGGGAAGUCUUCUCCACCAGCCCAUGAUCUUGUUUUGCUACAAAGUGUCCACUGGCAGCAACACCUUUACAAUCCCAACCCCUUUACAGUAUUUUUUAGGGAGCAUUGCCUUUCACUGGUCUCAAGGGAGACCAAAAAUUAACAAGAGGGCAGAAAUACGUGCUUCCUCUGAUCAUUGUCCUCGGGCAGUAUGAGCAAACAGUAUGCUCAAGGCUCUUGCAGUAAUUUGGGCAAACAUCCCACAGUGAAAAGUAAGGAAAGCGCACUUGGCAAAUGACUGGACAAAUUAUAACACAUCAUAUUGAAAUGCCAAUUGGCAGCCAUGACCCUGAGGCCGGGAGGCAACCACAUGAAAGGUGCCCUCCUAGGGAUGUACCUGUAGGAGUGAGCACAGUCCGGGAGCUGCCUCGUUACCCACACUAAUUCUUCACCCCUCCCUAGAGCUGUGCCCAUUGUUCUGUAACUUCGCAGAAAGACAUGCCUGCCUAUCUGAUCCUUGAUUUUCCCCUGGGCCAUGUGAUUUGCUUUGGUCCAGGGUUAUCAGGGGAUGCCAUGUAAGCAGAAGACAAAAACAUGUCUGCCUCCACCUUAAAAAGUGCUGCCCCUGGGCAGCUGCUGCUGCAUUAGCUGAUGCUUAGUGUGAACAGCUGUGGCACCAGCCUGGUGAAGAGCCCAGCCCAGCCAGACCCACAGAUUGAGAACAAGUUGCCUCACCUGGGGCAGUUUAUGCCCAGCUGACCCAGAGAUGCAGAAAUCAGAAAUGUUUGUACUGUGUACACUGAGAAGCUGUGAUCAUUUGCUGUGCACUAUCAUAGCGGCACAAAGAGCCACCUGAAUACAAGCAGCACCUCAACUUGCUCUGAUUGAGGGUUUCCUUCAAUCUCAAUUCUCCUGCCUCUACCUCCCAAGUUGCUACUAUUCUGCCACCCCCAACUAGGCAUUCUUUUCUGGGAAAGGCAAACUGAUAUUCAUGAACAACAAGGGGAAAAGCUGAAUGAAACACAGGCAACCUUACAAGAAGAGCCACAAGGUCAGAAGCAAAGCACAGAGAUGAAAGGACUUCUGAGAACCACUCUCCUCUGAAGGAAUUUUCUGCUUUGGGCUGAGAGGCUGAGCAUGUGGGUCGAGUCAAGGUUAAGGGUAGCAAAGGCUACAGCAUCUCUGGAGCUUGGGGGAUGAGAAACUGAGACUAGCGUUGCCAAGGCAACUGAGCAAAGAAAGACACAGAAGUCACAUUAACCCUUAGAGACUUUCCCCCUGGAAAUGUUGGUUGAAUUAUUGAGCUGAAUUAUGAAGUUAGCAGUUUCGGGGAAUGUCACAAUUCUUUUACAAGUUGGAGUCAGGACCCACAGAGGAAGAGCUCUUGGUUGGGUUCCUUGAAGGAUACUCUUGACUCAGUUCAAAACCUGACAACUGACUUGACAUGCUUAAAUAGUGACUGUAUCCACGCAUACUUUCCCAUGUGAUAUUUACACACAUAUCAUCUUCAUAGGAUGCUCCCUUUCCUGCUGUCUUGUAGAUUCAGAAUGAAUUUUUCUUUGUUUUCCUGACUUUGGGGUAAGCAGAAUACUGAUGUUAUUUUCUUAAGAUGACCAGUAAUUGCUUACCCUUAAGUACUUCUGCCCUCUGAACUCCUUUAUGAAAGUUAAUCCCAUCAGUUGAUAAUUAAAUUUAGUAAUGCCCCAGUGCUACCUGGUUGUCACUUUGCAAGAAGAUGCCAAGAACAGCAGAGUUUGGGGUUGAGCUUCACUGAGGCACUCAAGGCAGGUGGCGAAGGCUGCCAGUGGUGGAUACGACUCCAUGGACCAUGUUCUUAGAAACCAGUGACUGCUUUACUGGCCUCGCUGUCCCUAUUGCCUGUAGUACUGUCACCUCUCAGGCACUGCUAAAAACAGCUUUAUGAACGUACAGAGGAGCUGCUUCUUUCUUUUUGUUUAGGGUGGAGACUAAUUGCUUCUCUUCCAAAAAGUGUGUGAAUCUAAAUUCCAUUGAUUUGAAGGUAAAAUGUUUUUGUGAGGAUUUGAAGGUCCCCCCACCCUUUUCUUUUUAGAUAGGGACUCAUUAUAUAGUCUGGUUUUAAAGUUGAAACCCUUCUGUCUCAGCCUUCUGAGAAGUGCAUCACUAUGCCAUGUGGGGAUUUGGAUUUUGAUGGAGCUGAAGAGAUGGCUUACAGCAGUUAUGAACACUUGCUGCUCUUCCUGAAGAUCUGGGUUCAGUUUCCAGCACCCCCAUCGGGUAAUUCCAGUCCCAGGAGCUCUGACACCCUCUUCUGGUCUCCUUGGGCACCUGCAUGCACAUGGUGCACAUACACACAAGCAGGCACCCACACGUACACAACAAUGUAAAUUUGUUAAAGAAUUAUUAUAACAACUAUUUUUCUUAUUCCAUGAUUUUUAAAAAUAUUUCCUUCAGAAAAUAAAAACCUGUCUAAAAAGAA
Peromyscus californicus insignis is the source of this 10006-nucleotide RNA transcript. It is a transcript of the gene named shieldin complex subunit 2, with no coding region annotated. The transcript has 12 exons. The record is from RefSeq and is a predicted model, not a curated record. Lineage: Eukaryota; Metazoa; Chordata; Mammalia; Rodentia; Cricetidae.